CAGCCGCCGCGGUAAUACGUAGGUGGCAAGCGUUGUCCGGAAUUAUUGGGCGUAAAGGGCUCGCAGGCGGUUUCUUAAGUCUGAUGUGAAAGCCCCCGGCUCAACCGGGGAGGGUCAUUGGAAACUGGGAAACUUGAGUGCAGAAGAGGAGAGUGGAAUUCCACGUGUAGCGGUGAAAUGCGUAGGGAUGUGGAGGAACACCAGUGGCGAAGGCGACUCUCUGGUCUGUAACUGACGCUGAGGAGCGAAAGCGUGGGGAGCGAACAGGAUUAGAUACCCCUGUAGUCCCUGUCUCUUAUAC
Molecule: ribosomal RNA, 301 nt
Filed under: uncultured bacterium
Lineage: Bacteria
Description: partial 16S ribosomal RNA
Rfam family: Bacterial small subunit ribosomal RNA
Source: RNAcentral